GGACUACUCGGGUUUCUAAUCCUGUUUGCUACCCACGCUUUCGCACCUCAGUGUCAGUACCGGUCCAGGGAGCCGCCUUCGCCACCGGUGUUCCUCCCAGUAUCUACGCAUUUCACCGCUACACUGGGAAUUCCGCUCCCCCCUCCCGGACUCAAGCAAAGCAGUUUCAAAGGCAAUUCCUCGGUUGAGCCGAGGGCUUUCACCUUUGACUUACCAUGCCACCUACGUGCGCUUUACGCCCAGUAAAUCCGAAUAACGCUUGCCCCCUCCGUAUUACCGCGGCUGCUGGCACGGAGUUAGCCGGGGCUUCCUUUGGUGGUACCGUCAAUUCCUGCCGGGUAUUAACCGACAAGCUCUUCUUCCCACCUGACAGGAGUUUACAACCCGAAGGCCGUCAUCC
RNAcentral lists this unclassified non-coding RNA (400 nucleotides) under uncultured Acidobacteriota bacterium. RNAcentral's name for it is "uncultured Acidobacteria bacterium contains 16S-23S intergenic spacer region". Lineage: Bacteria; Pseudomonadati; Acidobacteriota. The record is from RNAcentral.